AGUCGAACGUGAAAGCACUUCGGUGUGAGUAGAGUGGCGGACGGGUGAGUAACGCGUGGGAAUCUGCCCAGUAGUGGGGGACAACUACCGGAAACGGUAGCUAAUACCGCAUACGCCCUAUGGGGGAAAGGCUUCGGCCGCUAUUGGAUGAGCCCGCGUCAGAUUAGCUAGUUGGUAGGGUAAAGGCCUACCAAGGCAACGAUCUGUAGCUGGUCUGAGAGGACGAACAGCCACACUGGGACUGAGACACGGCCCAGACUCCUACGGGAGGCAGCAGUGGGGAAUAUUGGACAAUGGGCGAAAGCCUGAUCCAGCAAUGCCGCGUGUGUGAAGAAGGCCUGCGGGUUGUAAAGCACUUUCAGUUGGGAAGAUGAUGACGUUACCAACAGAAGAAGCACCGGCUAAAUCCGUGCCAGCAGCCGCGGUAAUACGGAUGGUGCGAGCGUUAAUCGGAAUUACUGGGCGUAAAGCGCACGUAGGCGGCUAAGUCAGUCAGAAGUGAAAGCCCCGGGCUCAACCUGGGAAUUGCUUUUGAUACUGCUUGGCUAGAGUUUGGUAGAGGAUAGUGGAAUUCCAGGUGUAGCGGUGAAAUGCGUAGAUAUCUGGAGGAACAUCAGUGGCGAAGGCGACUGUCUGGACCAAAACUGACGCUGAGGUGCGAAAGCGUGGGUAGCAAACAGGAUUAGAUACCCUGGUAGUCCACGCCGUAAACGAUGUCAACUAGCCGUCGGGUCUAUUUACAGACUUGGUGGCGCAGCUAACGCGAUAAGUUGACCGCCUGGGGAGUACGGCCGCAAGGUUAAAACUCAAAGGAAUUGACGGGGGCCCGCACAAGCGGUGGAGCAUGUGGUUCAAUUCGAUGCAACGCGAAGAACCUUACCAGCUCUUGAC
RNAcentral lists this ribosomal RNA (891 nucleotides) under uncultured Gammaproteobacteria bacterium. Its description in RNAcentral is "bacterial SSU rRNA". It matches the Rfam family "Bacterial small subunit ribosomal RNA", at positions 60 to 985 of the family's 1533-position model. The record is from RNAcentral. Lineage: Bacteria; Pseudomonadati; Pseudomonadota; Gammaproteobacteria.